Long non-coding RNA from Dipodomys spectabilis (banner-tailed kangaroo rat), 174 nucleotides. RefSeq lists it as uncharacterized. The record is from RefSeq and is a predicted model, not a curated record. Lineage: Eukaryota; Metazoa; Chordata; Mammalia; Rodentia; Heteromyidae. The transcript has 4 exons.
UUGUCAUUGGCGUGGGCAUCUUUGCAGUUCUGGUUGUUGUAGCUGUGCUGGUUUUUGUGCUGUGCAGGAAGUGGACUGGAGGUGACAAGAGAGAAGGCUAUGAUAAGGCUGCAAGAGACGACAGUGACCAGGGUUCUGAUGCUUCCCUCAGAGCUGAAAAAGUGUGACACAGCU